GACGAACGCUGGCGGCGUGCUUAACACAUGCAAGUCGAACGGAAAGGCCCCCUUGUGGGGUACCCGAGUGGCGAACGGGUGAGUAACACGUGAGUAACCUACCCUUGACUUUGGGAUAACUUCAGGAAACUGGGGCUAAUACCGGAUAGGAGCUCCUGCUGCAUGGUGGGGGUUGGAAAGUUUCGGCGGUUGGGGAUGGACUCGCGGCUUAUCAGCUUGUUGGUGGGGUAGUGGCUCACCAAGGCUUUGACGGGUAGCCGGCCUGAGAGGGUGACCGGCCACAUGGGGGCUAGGGAAGGGCCCAGCCUCCUCCGGGGGGCAGAAGUGGGGAAGUUUGCACAAGGGGCGGAGGCGUAGAGCAGCAACGCCGGUGGGGGAGAGACGGCCUCCGGGUGUAAACCCGGUUUCGCGUUUGACAAGGGGGAGAUGACGGUAAUGGGUAAAAAAGCCCCGGCUAACUUCCG
This 464-nucleotide ribosomal RNA is filed under the name uncultured bacterium. RNAcentral's name for it is "partial 16S ribosomal RNA". It matches the Rfam family "Bacterial small subunit ribosomal RNA", at positions 28 to 506 of the family's 1533-position model. The record is from RNAcentral.